This 81-nucleotide transfer RNA is filed under the name Candidatus Magasanikiibacteriota bacterium. Its description in RNAcentral is "Candidatus Magasanikbacteria bacterium tRNA-Leu". It matches the Rfam family "tRNA". Rfam says of the family: Transfer RNA (tRNA) molecules are approximately 80 nucleotides in length. Their secondary structure includes four short double-helical elements and three loops (D, anti-codon, and T loops). Lineage: Bacteria; Candidatus Magasanikiibacteriota. The record is from RNAcentral.
GCCGCGGUGGUGAAAUUGGUAUACACGCUGGUCUUAGGAACCAGUGCCUAUGGCGUGAGAGUUCGAGUCUCUCCCGCGGCA